This is a long non-coding RNA of Harpia harpyja (harpy eagle), 750 nucleotides long. RefSeq lists it as uncharacterized. The record is from RefSeq and is a predicted model, not a curated record. The transcript has 3 exons. NCBI's taxonomy places the organism in Eukaryota, Metazoa, Chordata, Aves, Accipitriformes, Accipitridae.
CGGUCCCGGCGCUGUCUCCCGGACCGCCGCCGCUGCGGGGCCAGGGCCCUGUACGGCCCACGGCGGGGGUCCGGGGCGGCAGCUGAGGGCCGACGGAGGCCGCGCUUGCGAGCCCCGGCGCCGGGUACCUGAAUCGGUGAAAUGAAGUCUGUCUUAACUGGCGAUAAAUCAGCUUAGAUUGCCCUGAGAUGAGACUGUUUUGCCUGGGAUGGUAGCUGUUGGAGAAUGCGUGUGACACCCAGCCCUGUCACGGCCUGGAACUGGAGUAAUAAGAAGGACUCUGGAAGAAGCCAUGAUCCUGGUCCUGGGAAUAUGUGGUGGUGGAAGUGGCGCAGCCAGUGUGUGUCCAGGGGUGAAGGGUGGAAUGUAAAGGACACAAAUUGCAGGGGGUAUCAGGGGAUGGCAGUGGUGACCUGGGUGGAGACCAGAACUGCUCAGUGCCAGCCAGAACCAGCUACCUCCAACACCAAUGUAAACACUAUAUCAUGCCAAAAUUUAAACUCCACGGUGCCCUGGCUCAGACACGCUGUUGGAAAUACAGGUGCACAAUUUGAAAAAGAUCCAUGCUGAAAGGGCUUACUUCUGAGGGGAAUGCAGCUGGUGGAUGAGCCAUGCUGGAGCAAGGAAACCCCUGAAGGCACUGUGGCCACUGGGUGACCUAUGCUGGAGAAGGUAUACCACUGAAAAGACAGCGGUCUAAACCUUUGGCUCUCCCUGCACCACAGCAAACAUUGUACCUUUACUGUUCAA